UAGUCCACGCCGUAAACGAUGAUUACUCGCUGUAGGCGAUACACAGUCUGUGGCUAAGCGAAAGUUUUAAGUAAUCCACCUGGGGAGUACGAUCGCAAGAUUGAAACUCAAAGGAAUUGACGGGGGCCCGCACAAGCGGAGGAACAUGUGGUUUAAUUCGAUGAUACGCGAGGAACCUUACCUGGACUUAAAUGUGCGUUGCAUGGAUCAGAGAUGGUCCUUUCUUCGGACUACGUACAAGGUGCUGCAUGGUUGUCGUCAGCUCGUGCCGUGAGGUGUCGGGUUAAGUCCCAUAACGAGCGCAACCCUUGUCUUUAGUUGCCAUCAUUUAGUUGGGCACUCUAGAGAAACUGCCGGUGACAAACCGGAGGAAGGUAAGGAUGACGUCAAGUCAGCAUGCCCCUUACGCUCUGGGCUACACACGUGCUACAAUGGUCGUGACAAAGAGUUGCUAGUCUGCGAAGGCAAGCCAAUCUCAUAAACGCGGCCUUAGUUCGGAUUGCAGG
This 506-nucleotide ribosomal RNA is filed under the name uncultured bacterium. RNAcentral's name for it is "bacterial SSU rRNA". It matches the Rfam family "Bacterial small subunit ribosomal RNA", at positions 791 to 1304 of the family's 1533-position model. The record is from RNAcentral.